This 669-nucleotide ribosomal RNA is filed under the name uncultured bacterium. RNAcentral describes it as "partial 16S ribosomal RNA". It matches the Rfam family "Bacterial small subunit ribosomal RNA", at positions 243 to 925 of the family's 1533-position model. The record is from RNAcentral.
AGCUAGAUGGCGGGGUAGUGGCUCACCAUGGCGACGACGGGUAGCUGGUCUGAGAGGAUGGUCAGCCGGACUGGGACUGAGAUACGGCCCAGACUCCUACGGGGGGCAGCAAUUAGGAAUCUCGCGCAAUGGGCGAAAGCCUGACGCAGCGACGCCGCGUGGGGGAGGAAGGCCUUCGGGUUGUAAACCCCUUUUUCGAGGGAAGAAAAAAAUGACGGUACCUCGGGAAUAAGCCCCGGCUAACUCCGUGCCAGCAGCCGCGGUAAUACGGAGGGGGCGAGCGUUGUCCGAAGUUACUGGGCGUAAAGCGCGUGUAGGCGGGUUGUCAAGUCCGCUGUGAAAGCCCGAGGCUCAACCUCGGAGGGUCGGUGGAUACUGACAGUCUUGAAGGUGCUAGGGGGAGAUGGAAUUACCGGUGUAGCGGUGAAAUGCGUAGAGAUCGGUAGGAACACCAGUGGCGAAGGCGGUCUCCUGGGGCAUUCUUGACGCUGAGACGCGAAAGCUGGGGGAGCGAACGGGAUUAGAUACCCCGGUAGUCCCAGCCCUAAACGAUGGAUACUAGGUGUCGGGGGUAUCGACCCCCCCGGUGCCGCCGCUAACGCAGUAAGUAUCCCGCCUGGGGAGUACGGCCGCAAGGUUGAAACUCAAAGGAAUUGACGGAAUCGAAUU